AAUUAUAAAUUUAUUUAUUUUAUUUAUUUGUUGAAAUUAAUAUAAAUAAUUUUAUUUAAAUGUUUAUUUAGUAUAUUUUAUAGAAAAAUAUUUUUUAAUUAUAGUUUAUUAGUAUUGUAAAAGAAAAUUAUUAAUUUAAAUUUUUUAAAAGUAGAAUUAAUUUUUUGUACCUUGUGUAUCAGGGUUUAUUAAAAUAAUAUUAAAGAUUUUAAUUUUCUCGAAUUUAAGAGGGAAAAUAAAUUAUUUCUUUUAUUGUAAAAAAAAUAUUUAAAAUAAUUUAUUAGUAAUGAAAUGUUAUUCGUUCUUAAAAAUAUCUAGUUUGUUUAGAAAUGAAUUUAAUUCAGAUUAUUAAUUAAUUUAAUUUAAUUAAUUAAUUUAAAUUUAAUUAAUAAUUAAUAAUUAAAGGGAUAAGCUUUUAAUUAAAUAUUUAAAAAUUGAGUUUUAUUUAAAUAAAUAUGUAAGUUUAGAAAUAUCUAUCAAUUAUAAUUUGUUAUAAUUAAUUUAUUUAAGAAUAUUAUUUAAUAUUAUUUUAAAUUUUUUAUAAACAUAAAUUUAUUAAUAAAAUAUAAUUAGUAAUAAUGAUAAAAUUAGUAUAUUUAAGUAUAUGAAUAUUUAUAUUUAGAAUUUUAUUUAAAGGAAUUCGGCAAAUAUUUUACUCGCCUGUUUAACAAAAACAUCUCUUUUUGAUUUAUAUAAAAAGUAUAACCUGCCCACUGAAAUUAUUUAAAUGGCCGCAGUAUUUUAACUGUGCAAAGGUAGCAUAAUAAUUAGUUUUUUAAUUUAAAGCUUGUAUGAAUGGUUGGACGAGGUAAAUUCUGUCUUUAAAUAAUUAAAAUAGAAUUUAAUUUUUAAGUUAAAAAGCUUAAAUUUUAUUAAAAGACGAGAAGACCCUAUAGAUCUUUAUUAUUUAAAAAUAAAUUUAAAAUUAGAAAUUUAAUUAAUUUUUUUUUUAAAUAAUUUUAUUGGGGUAAUAUAAAAAUUAAAAUAAUUUUUUAUUUUUUUUUUACAUAAAUAUAUGGUUUAUUUGAUCCAUUAAUAAUGAUUAUAAGAUUAAGUUACCUUAGGGAUAACAGCGUAAUUUUUUUGAAAGAGUUCAUAUCGAUAAAAAAGAUUGCGACCUCGAUGUUGGAUUAAAAGUAAUUUUAGGUGCAGAAGCUUAAAGUUUUGGUCUGUUCGACCAUUAAAUUUUUACAUGAUCUGAGUUCAGACCGGUGUAAGCCAGGUCGGUUUCUAUCUUUAAUUUUAUUUUUAUAUUUUAGUACGAAAGGACCAAAUAUAAUAUAUAUUAAUAUAUAAAUUUUUGAAUAUUAUU
Molecule: ribosomal RNA, 1312 nt
Filed under: Macrogyrus oblongus
Lineage: Eukaryota; Metazoa; Arthropoda; Insecta; Coleoptera; Gyrinidae
Description: large subunit ribosomal RNA
Rfam family: Archaeal large subunit ribosomal RNA (bases 1066-1225)
Source: RNAcentral